ACAUACAGCGAACUUGGCAGAGAUGCCUUGGUGCCUUCGGGAACGCUGAGACAGGUGCUGCAUGGCUGUCGUCAGCUCGUGUUGUGAAAUGUUGGGUUAAGUCCCGCAACGAGCGCAACCCUUAUCCUUUGUUGCCAGCGAUUCGGUCGGGAACUCAAAGGAGACUGCCGGUGAUAAACCGGAGGAAGGUGGGGAUGACGUCAAGUCAUCAUGGCCCUUACGAGUAGGGCUACACACGUGCUACAAUGGCGCAUACAAAGAGAAGCGACCUCGCGAGAGCAAGCGGACCUCAUAAAGUGCGUCGUAGUCCGGAUCGGAGUCUGCAACUCGACUCCGUGAAGUCGGAAUCGCUAGUAAUCGUGGAUCAGAAUGCCACGGUGAAUACGUUCCCGGGCCUUGUACACACCGCCCGUCACACCAUGGGAGUGGGUUGCAAAAGAAGUAGGUAGCUUAACCUCCGGGAGGGCGCUUACCACUUUGUGAUUCAUGGCUGGGGUGAAGUCGUAACAAGGUAAGCGUAGCGAG
This 525-nucleotide ribosomal RNA is filed under the name uncultured bacterium. Its description in RNAcentral is "bacterial SSU rRNA". It matches the Rfam family "Bacterial small subunit ribosomal RNA", at positions 984 to 1509 of the family's 1533-position model. The record is from RNAcentral.